GCCGUGGGCGGCGCUACCAUGCAGUCGAACGGUAACAGGAAGCAGCUUGCUGCUUUUGCUGACGAGUGGCGGACGGGUGAGUAAUGUCUGGGAAACUGCCUGAUGGAGGGGGAUAACUACUGGAAACGGUAGCUAAUACCGCAUAACGUCGCAAGACCAAAGAGGGGGACCUUCGGGCCUCUUGCCAUCGGAUGUGCCCAGAUGGGAUUAGCUAGUAGGUGGGGUAACGGCUCACCUAGGCGACGAUCCCUAGCUGGUCUGAGAGGAUGACCAGCCACACUGGAACUGAGACACGGUCCAGACUCCUACGGGAGGCAGCAGUGGGGAAUAUUGCACAAUGGGCGCAAGCCUGAUGCAGCCAUGCCGCGUGUAUGAAGAAGGCCUUCGGGUUGUAAAGUACUUUCAGCGGGGAGGAAGGGAGUAAAGUUAAUACCUUUGCUCAUUGACGUUACCCGCAGAAGAAGCACCGGCUAACUCCGUGCCAGCAGCCGCGGUAAUACGGAGGGUGCAAGCGUUAAUCGGAAUUACUGGGCGUAAAGCGCACGCAGGCGGUUUGUUAAGUCAGAUGUGAAAUCCCCGGGCUCAACCUGGGAACUGCAU
This 600-nucleotide ribosomal RNA is filed under the name Escherichia coli. Its description in RNAcentral is "bacterial SSU rRNA". It matches the Rfam family "Bacterial small subunit ribosomal RNA", at positions 35 to 626 of the family's 1533-position model. The record is from RNAcentral. Lineage: Bacteria; Pseudomonadati; Pseudomonadota; Gammaproteobacteria; Enterobacterales; Enterobacteriaceae.